Transfer RNA from Loxodonta africana (African savanna elephant), 70 nucleotides. It matches the Rfam family "tRNA". From Rfam's summary of the family: Transfer RNA (tRNA) molecules are approximately 80 nucleotides in length. Their secondary structure includes four short double-helical elements and three loops (D, anti-codon, and T loops). Further hydrogen bonds mediate the characteristic L-shaped molecular structure. tRNAs have two regions of fundamental functional importance: the anti-codon, which is responsible for specific mRNA codon recognition, and the 3' end, to which the tRNAs corresponding amino acid is attached (by aminoacyl-tRNA synthetases). tRNAs cope with the degeneracy of the genetic code in two manners: having more than one tRNA (with a specific anti-codon) for a particular amino acid; and 'wobble' base-pairing, i.e. permitting non-standard base-pairing at the 3rd anti-codon position. Lineage: Eukaryota; Metazoa; Chordata; Mammalia; Proboscidea; Elephantidae. The record is from Rfam.
GCAGUGGUGGUUCAGUGAUAGAAUUCUUGCCUUCCAUGCAGAGAUCUGAGUUUGAUUCCUGGCCAAUGCA